Molecule: long non-coding RNA, 2557 nt
Organism: Homo sapiens (human)
Lineage: Eukaryota; Metazoa; Chordata; Mammalia; Primates; Hominidae
Source: Ensembl
CAUUCUUUUAAACGGCUCCCCCACUUCCAAUCUUAGUUUCCGUCCCAAUUUGGGAAUUGUUCCUGCCUGGAGGUGAGGGAACCAUCAAUGGCCUUGUCUGAGAUGCACGCCUUGGUGCACAACAAACUCCUCUGCCAUCGCUUAGUCCUUCAAAGCUGACAGUGCUUUUAGAGUCAUGCAGACACCUGAUGGAAGAGUCUUCCAGGCAGAAGGAAGGACAAAUACCCUUGAUAUACAUGUACUUGGCCGGCAUGAGGAAGAGCAAUGUGGAAGGAUACAGAUAGUUGGGAACAUAUAGUGCCUGUGAAUGACCAGUAUGCUCACUCCAAUAACAUCAGGCAAGCAAUUCCACAUAAUACUGAAGAAGGCUGUUGAAGUGACUGAAUCUGGCCAAAUAUUCUGAGCGUUUCGGAGGGAUUUUUAACAUUCUAAAUGCUAUCUGGAACAUCGAUGCAGCAUGGGAAGAAGUCACACAGCCAUGCAUGAACAGCAUUUGGAAGAAAGUUUUGAAGACAUAUGUGAACACAUUCAAAAUGUUAACAGAGAUUCUGCCGUAUUCAUAAGCUUGUUGGCAUCGAGGCUGAAGAGCUUUCCAAUGAGAAGCUGGAAAAAGAAAGAAGUAAAGAAGUUGGGGCAAAGAUAGAAGAAAUUGUUCCUGAGGCACCAAGAAAGUUCAUAGCAAAUAAACUGGCAGCGGUGUUUUCUACUAUCAGCAGUGGUGUGUGAAUGUUAGGACAAAUGGGUGACAAUUACAAUUGCUAUCACACACAUAUUGUUCCAUAGUCUCUCCUGUUCUUUGCCAGCCUUAUUACCUUUUCUUUUUUCCCUAUUAAUCCAAGAGCUCUAUGGGAGUAAAAAGGAUGCUCUUCCUUGCAAUGAAGAAAUAUGUAAUGAAAAGAAAAAACAUAUUGUCAAAACUUGGUAUCUACCUGAAGAACACUUUGCCUUCUAAACCAUAAACAAGUGUCAGUGUCCCAGUGCCUUCUGCCAGCUAUUCUCAAGACUCAUCAGAAGAGAGUGAAAUUGAUGACUCUGUAGCUGUAGCAUCCCCAUUAUCAGCACUUAAUUUUAGCUUAAUGCUUUGAACAUUCUUCAGGCUCAGUGUGCUUUCAUCUGUACACAUUAAUGGAAAUCUGGAGAUAGAAAGAUUUGGGUAUUGGUUCAGCAGCUCAAUGAUGCCAGGGCCAGUGUGUUGGCAUUCUUCUGGCCUUAUCCUCAUGGUUGCAAAUUGGUUCCUGCUGUCCCCAGUCAAAGGAGGAAGAAGAGGGAAUUGGCAGCAGUUAUCAGAGCCUUUAUCAGAAAAGCACAGAUUUCCCAGGAAUCCCCAGGAGACUUCUGGUUACAGUCCAUUGGCCAUAAUGUGGUCAAAUGGGCUUCCCUAUCAACAAGGGAGACAGAGAAAGUGAGUUUUUAUAUUUUUCAGCUUGUUCUGUGGAAGGUGGCAAGAGAAAAGUGGGGUGGGGAUUGCUUCGGCUAAGCAGAUCCUGUAGUGUUUGCCACAGGGGUAUUUAAUGACUAAAAUCCCACUUGGUUGUCAGGUAAGUAAGCAAGAAAUUCUAUGCUUUUACCUUAUCACAGACUUCCUUAGUCUCCAGAUUAUUCUGAGAGAUAGGCACAUACACAAAGUGUGCUCCUUGGUGUGUAUUUUAAGAUAAUGUUUUGUAUUUUGCACAGAAGCAAAUAUUGCCUCUUCCAUAUUAUAGUUUUAAUAAGUUUAUGGCCUUGUCAUUAACUCAUUCAACCAAUAUUUAUUCGGAUUUAUCUAUAUGAUAGUAAUUGUAGUUGAUACUGAGAUUUCAGAGAUGAAUAAGAUAAGAUCCCUAGCUUCAAGUAGUUCAUAGCCCAAGAGUGAAAUACUUUGAUAUAAGUAGUUAUAUACAUAUAAUUAUAAUUUAUCAAAAGAGCACUGAAGAGCAUAUAUAGUGAUAUGUAUCUUCGGCUCUCUAUACAUAUCCUUAGUCUGGGGACAAUCAUUUGAGUUUGUGGAUCUUGAUAGGAGAUCCAGGAAGAUCAGUUUAGAGAUAAUUCAAAGCUUCUUAAGCAAAUGUCACUUUGUAAUGACACUACCUUUCUUUGAUCUCUAUAUUGUCCCUCAAGUAGUUGAAGCCUGUAGUUCUUUAAUAUAUGGUUAGCUUACUUAGCUUGAAGAUAAUACAGCAGUUUGAGUUUAGUUAUGAGUAUUAUACUUGAAAGCUAAGAACAUGAUCAGCAUUUAGCUUUAUAUCUUAAAGGGGUUGGUGAGUUUCUGCACCUGGUUCACUUGACAUGCCUGAGCUCUGAGUAAGAAUAAGAAUCAGAAUGCACCUGGCUUCCACAAUAAAGAAAGCAGCCAGAGGUACCCCAUUUUAGGGCCACUGAGAUGAGCUGUUCCCAACCAGAUGACAUGGGGUGAUUUCCUCUUCACUUUUCUGCUUUCAGCAGGUUCAAAACUGCCUGGAAUCAUGAGAAUCUUUAAUUCCUCUUCUUGGCUAGGAAUCUUCUCCUGUUUUCUCCAUUGGAUUACAUAAGACCAGGAUAUGGCACUAAAGCUUGCUUUUCUUUACCUAUAUGUUGUGAC